Molecule: long non-coding RNA, 701 nt
Organism: Ixodes scapularis (black-legged tick)
Lineage: Eukaryota; Metazoa; Arthropoda; Arachnida; Ixodida; Ixodidae
Exons: 2
Source: RefSeq, a predicted model, not a curated record
CGCCGGGAGCCAGGAUUGACGCUACUGGUGCUGACGGAACAAACUCGGGCGGCGUUGGCCGGGUACUGCAAAAGAAUGUUUCUUAGCAGUUCCGAACGGGCAGCACUGCGCUCAGCUCAGCUGACGCCAACUGGGAAAAAGCGACCGGUCUUGCCGGCUGUUGCGCCGCUGGAGCUGGUAACUAGUGUGUGCAGUUGCCUCCAGGCGGCAGCACCGCACGGAGCCGUGGUUUCUGCGUUCACUGGAUCCGACCGGCGUCUGCUUUGCGUCGUCUGCUUUUAGGCUUUUGGGUCCUGAAUCUGGCUCAGUCUGUUCGCACUUGAUCGGCAGUUGUUUUUCAUUGGCUUGUGCAAAGCUGUGUUGCGUAUGUUGAGCUUCUUACCGUAGGACAGCCGGUCUGCGGGGAGAGGCGAGGCCAGCCUUUGGCCGCUUCCGUGUUCCGUGGUUCCCCGUUAAAGUCGGCGCUGUUUUCCCCGUGGCCGAGCCCUCCCUUUGCUGCGCUACCCCGUGCCUUUGCAGUUGCCGUGCCUGGCAGACAACCAGUGUCUGGCUUGGCCCUCUAGUCCUGACAACUGCUUCGUCGGCGCUGUGCAACGGAAACUCUCCCAGCUCCUGUUUCCCCAACGAGCGCAGAUUUCGAAAACACCGCGCUUUAGAAGACCGUUUCAUCCCCCACAAAUAAAUAGUUGUGGUUAUUCUUU